UAGAGCCAAACAAAGAUUUAUUUUUUUGUACGUAAUUAUAUUGAAUUGAUUCGAUUCUCACAAAUGUUACCAACAAUUAUGAACCUAAUUCCAUUCUAUAUGCUGCGAAAUUAGUCCAUGUCAAAUGGAAAAUUUCUAAUCUUUGAAUCUCACACAAAGGCUGAGGUAAUCCAAGUGCCAUAUAAUGUACAUAUACAGAGUAUUCAAUUAAUUUUGGUUACAUGGUGUCUAGAAGAUGAUGAAGUAGAUGUCACUUCAGACCUUGAUUUAAUUAAUUGAUUUCAUAGGAAUUAAGAUCAUCUAGUGACUUUCUUUGGUUUAGAUGAAAAGUGUUUAAUUGCUUGUGAUACUACGUUUACUUGUUUAUUCUUGAUCACGAAUAGGAAUUAAUACAAGUUUGAGUAUUUAUUGCGUAUAAUGGUACUGUGAUUUGUUUAGUUAAAUCAAGAAUGGGAUUGAUACUAAUUUUUGUUCCAAAUUUCUAUUGUGUGCAUAUUCAAAAAUACGAUUGGCCGAAUGACUAGACAAAUUGAUCACCUUUUUACUCUUGCAAAGACAGCUAAUAGUGAAUCAUUUUGUGAGAACUGCGUGAUCAUUUUAGUGGUAUCCAUGUUCUUGCAUCACUAUCUUUGUGUUUGUUAAACAUUAGUAAUACAAUUUAUUUAUCUGCACUUUUAAGUAGAAAUGUUUUUCCAUUUCAUUUGAAGAUGUGAACAAAUAGGGUAACCUAUCCUACAACAGACAAGUUUAGCUAUGGAUUUAAAAAUUUCAUUGUUUGUCUAGUGAUUUACCCUUUGUCAUUGUUACCUUAAGUUUAUCUGAUUUUCUUGCGUAAUGUUUUUUAGAUCGCAGGCCACUGUGUAAAUGGAUAAAAAAAUUAUGCAUAGUUUCUUGAGCUAUGUUGUCUAUAAUUUGUACUCGAACUGUACCUAAAGUGACAAAAAAUUACUGAUAGCUUACAAAUGGUUAUGCAUAGUAGAGACUGGGGCCUCCAACUAGGGUUGGUAAUUUAUCGGGUCGGGUCAAGCUAAGCUUUAAUCCGACCCUAUAACACAACUAAAGGGCCCUAGCCUUACAAAAAGUCCUAUUAUUUCACCUUAGGGUCGGGUCAGACUCGACCCUAAAAGGGUUAGGGUCGGCCUUUAUUUUUAAAAUUUUUGGCCUGAUUUUUUACCCUUAACUUCGGGCCAAAGCCCUCAAAAUUUGGGUCAGGCUAAUCGGGCCAAAAAUCGGGUCGGACUUUUUUGCCAUCCCUAUCUCUAACUCAUCGGAGUUUAGAAAUAUCUUCCGCCCCCACCUCUUCUUUUUUGAAAAGCAAGAGUGGUGUAACAAUGGAGACUUGUUCUAGUAAUUUGUUUAUAUUUUAGAGAGAUAUAUCUAUAUUUUUAUAAUGUCUACUCAUUUUAAGGUUUUUAGAUUAGUCAAUCAUUUCUAAUUCAUAUUCCACACUUUUAUUACAAUGUAAAUAAACAUUCUACAUCCACUUCCAGUUCCAUACUACUAAUCUUGUUUGUUGGAAUAAGGGUAGGGGAUAGAAAGCAGUAAGUUGCCUAAUGUAAAACAAAAUUAUGUUGAAAGUUCAUAAAGUUAUUGGCCAUUAUAUUUUUUCUUAAUAGGUUUUGGAAUAGUACAUAAAUUAAGAAAAAAAAAUUACAGUAGCAACUUCUAAAUAGGAUUGCCAAUGGGAUGGGAUGAGACAAAAUUGGUCUAUCUCAGUCCUAUCAUGUAUAUGCAAGUGA
Molecule: long non-coding RNA, 1739 nt
Filed under: Citrus x clementina
Lineage: Eukaryota; Viridiplantae; Streptophyta; Magnoliopsida; Sapindales; Rutaceae
Description: Citrus clementina (C. clementina) long non-coding RNA (CCLE_LNC003237)
Source: RNAcentral